This is a long non-coding RNA of Sphaeramia orbicularis (orbiculate cardinalfish), 195 nucleotides long. RefSeq lists it as uncharacterized. The record is from RefSeq and is a predicted model, not a curated record. NCBI's taxonomy places the organism in Eukaryota, Metazoa, Chordata, Actinopteri, Kurtiformes, Apogonidae. The transcript is spliced from 3 exons.
GGAUAAAGCGGAAGAAAAUGGAUGGAGGAUGAGGAAAUGCAGUCAUCUCUAAAUGAAAGACAACAGCGAUGCAGAUCGUCUGUGAAGGAGGAGGUCUGUCUGAUGGAGCUGUUCAUCCAUCAGUGGUCGUUUUCCAUCAAAACCAGUAGAUCCAGAGAUGUGGGUGUAGAUGACAUCAGAGGAGAUGUCAGCAAU